ACGGAAGGCAGCAGUGGGGAAUAUUACACAAUGGGCGCAAGCCUGAUGUAGCAAUGCCGCGUGAGCGAUGAAGGUCUUCGGAUUGUAAAGCUCUGUCCUUAGGGACGAAACAAAUGACGGUACCUGAGGAGGAAGCCCCGGCUAACUACGUGCCAGCAGCCGCGGUAAUACGUAGGGGGCAAGCGUUAUCCGGAAUUAUUGGGCGUAAAGAGUACGUAGGUGGUUUUGUAAGCGGAAGGUGAAAGCCUGGGGCUUAACUCCAGUGAGCCUUUCGAACUGCAAGACUUGAGUGCAGGAGGGGAAAGUGGAAUUCCUAGUGUAGCGGUGAAAUGCGUAGAUAUUAGGAGGAACACCAGUGGCGAAGGCGACUUUCUGGACUGUAACUGACACUGAGGUACGAAAGCGUGGGGAGCAAACAGGAUUAGAUACCCUGGUA
RNAcentral lists this ribosomal RNA (436 nucleotides) under uncultured Anaerovorax sp. Its description in RNAcentral is "bacterial SSU rRNA". It matches the Rfam family "Bacterial small subunit ribosomal RNA", at positions 341 to 792 of the family's 1533-position model. The record is from RNAcentral. Lineage: Bacteria; Bacillati; Bacillota; Clostridia; Peptostreptococcales; Anaerovoracaceae.